This 393-nucleotide ribosomal RNA is filed under the name Triticum aestivum (bread wheat). RNAcentral describes it as "partial small subunit ribosomal RNA". Lineage: Eukaryota; Viridiplantae; Streptophyta; Magnoliopsida; Poales; Poaceae. The record is from RNAcentral.
AUGGCGUCCAGGGCAUUCCCAGCUCUGGUCCUUCUCGUGCUCAUCUGCGGCCAGCUCGUGGUCGGCGGCCAUGCCCAGCCCUACAUCGGCGGCACCAGGGGAGGAGGAGGAUCUGCCGCCGGACUGCGGCCACCGACUUCCACCGCCACCCAUGGCCACUCCUCCACCAUUGCCAUGGGAGAAGACAAGUCCUUCAUGAUCAACACCCUGCCGGCGCACGACCACCCGCUUCCUGUCCCGCCGUCCGGGGAUCGAAGAGGGCUGGUCGGCCAGGGCACUCAUCAGUCCGACGCACUCCUCAACCAGAACACCUGCGGGUAUGAGUCCGCCGUAGCCGCCUGCCACCAAUUCAUCUUCAUUGUUGAACUACUGCAUCUACCUUGCCCGGUCUAG